UACGUAUGGUGCAAGCGUUAUCCGGAUUUACUGGGUGUAAAGGGAGCGCAGGCGGCACGGCAAGCCUGAUGUGAAAGCCCGCGGCCCAACCGCGGGACUGCAUUGGGAACUACCGGGCUGGAGUGCCGGAGAGGUAGGCGGAAUUCCUAGUGUAGCGGUGAAAUGCGUAGAUAUUAGGAGGAACACCAGUGGCGAAGGCGGCCUGCUGGACGAUGACUGACGUUGAGGCUCGAAAGCGCGGGGAGCAAACAGG
RNAcentral lists this ribosomal RNA (253 nucleotides) under uncultured bacterium. RNAcentral describes it as "partial 16S ribosomal RNA". It matches the Rfam family "Bacterial small subunit ribosomal RNA", at positions 524 to 776 of the family's 1533-position model. The record is from RNAcentral.